RNAcentral lists this ribosomal RNA (492 nucleotides) under uncultured bacterium. Its description in RNAcentral is "partial 16S ribosomal RNA". It matches the Rfam family "Bacterial small subunit ribosomal RNA", at positions 29 to 507 of the family's 1533-position model. The record is from RNAcentral.
AGUGAACGCUGGCGGUAGGCCUAACACAUGCAAGUCGAACGGCAGCACAGUAAGAGCUUGCUCUUCCGGGUGGCGAGUGGCGGACGGGUGAGGAAUACAUCGGAAUCUACUUUUUCGUGGGGGAUAACGUAGGGAAACUUACGCUAAUACCGCAUACGACCUACGGGUGAAAGCAGGGGAUCUUCGGACCUUGCGCGAUUGAAUGAGCCGAUGUCGGAUUAGCUAGUUGGCGGGGUAAAGGCCCACCAAGGCGACGAUCCGUAGCUGGUCUGAGUGGAUGAUCAGCCACACUGGAACGUGGACACGGUCCAGACUCCUGCGGGAGGCAGCAGUGGGGAAUAUUGGACAAUGGGCGCAAGCCUGAUCCAGCCAUACCGCGUGGGUGAAGGAGGCCUUCGGGUUGUAAAGCCCUUUUGUUGGGAAAGAAAAGCAGCAGGUUAAUACCCCGCUGUUCUGACGGUAACCAAAGAAUAAGCACCGGCUAACUUCGUG